GACGAACGCUGGCGGCGCGCCUAACACAUGCAAGUCGAACGAGAGAUGAGGAGCUUGCUCUUCAGAUCGAGUGGCGAACGGGUGAGUAACGCGUGAGGAACCUGCCUCAAAGAGGGGGACAACAGUUGGAAACGACUGCUAAUACCGCAUAAGCCCACGGCUCGGCAUCGAGCAGAGGGAAAAGGAGCAAUCCGCUUUGAGAUGGCCUCGCGUCCGAUUAGCUAGUUGGUGAGGUAACGGCCCACCAAGGCGACGAUCGGUAGCCGGACUGAGAGGUUGAACGGCCACAUUGGGACUGAGACACGGCCCAGACUCCUACGGGAGGCAGCAGUGGGGAAUAUUGCACAAUGGGGGAAACCCUGAUGCAGCGACGCCGCGUGGAGGAAGAAGGCCU
RNAcentral lists this ribosomal RNA (394 nucleotides) under uncultured bacterium. RNAcentral describes it as "bacterial SSU rRNA". It matches the Rfam family "Bacterial small subunit ribosomal RNA", at positions 28 to 417 of the family's 1533-position model. The record is from RNAcentral.